AGCCGCCGCGGGAACACCGGCGGCCCGAGUGGUGAUCGUGAUUAUUGGGUCUAAAGGGUCCGUAGCCGGUUUGGUCAGUCCUCCGGGAAAUCUGAUAGCUCAACUAUUAGGCUUUCGGGGGAUACUGCCAGACUUGGAACCGGGAGAGGUAAGAGGUACUACAGGGGUAGGAGUGAAAUCUUGUAAUCCCUGUGGGACCACCUGUGGCGAAGGCGUCUUACCAGAACGGGUUCGACGGUGAGGGACGAAAGCUGGGGGCACGAACCGGAUUAGAUACCCGGGUAGUCCCAGCCGUAAACGAUGCUCGCUAGGUGUCAGGCAUGGCGCGACCGUGUCUGGUGCCGCAGGGAAGCCGUGAAGCGAGCCACCUGGGAAGUACGGCCGCAAGGCUGAAACUUAAAGGAAUUGGCGGGGGAGCACAACAACGGGUGGAAGCCUGCGGUUUAAUUGGACUCAACGCCGGACAACUCACCGGGGGCGACAGCAAUAUGUAGGCCAAGCUGAAGACUUUGCCUGAAUCGCUGAGGGGAGGUGCAUGG
This 539-nucleotide ribosomal RNA is filed under the name uncultured archaeon. Its description in RNAcentral is "bacterial SSU rRNA". It matches the Rfam family "Archaeal small subunit ribosomal RNA", at positions 460 to 997 of the family's 1478-position model. The record is from RNAcentral.